Molecule: ribosomal RNA, 424 nt
Filed under: uncultured bacterium
Lineage: Bacteria
Description: bacterial SSU rRNA
Rfam family: Bacterial small subunit ribosomal RNA
Source: RNAcentral
UGAGGAAUAUUGGUCAAUGGACGAAAGUCUGAACCAGCCAUGCCGCGUGAAGGAUGACGGCCCUACGGGUUGUAAACUUCUUUUGUAUAGGAAGAAACCCCCCUACGUGUAGGGGGCUGACGGUACUAUACGAAUAAGCACCGGCUAACUCCGUGCCAGCAGCCGCGGUAAUACGGAGGGUGCAAGCGUUAUCCGGAAUUAUUGGGUUUAAAGGGUGCGUAGGCGGAAAUUUAAGUCAGUGGUGAAAGCCUGCAGCUCAACUGUAGAAUUGCCAUUGAUACUGAAUUUCUUGAAUCUAAUUGAAGUGGGCGGAAUAUGACAUGUAGCGGUGAAAUGCUUAGAUAUGUCAUAGAACACCGAUAGCGAAGGCAGCUCACUAAGUUAGUAUUGACGCUCAUGCACGAAAGCGUGGGGAGCGAACAGG